Molecule: ribosomal RNA, 253 nt
Filed under: uncultured bacterium
Lineage: Bacteria
Description: partial 16S ribosomal RNA
Rfam family: Bacterial small subunit ribosomal RNA
Source: RNAcentral
UACGAAGGGGGCUAGCGUCGCUCGGAAUCAUUGGGUUUAAAGGGAGCGUAGGCGGCCCUGUAAGUCAGUGGUGAAAUCUUUGGGCUUAACCCAAAAAUUGCCAUUGAUACUGCAGGGCUUGGGUACAGUUGCUGUGGGCGGAAUAUGACAUGUAGUGGUGAAAUACAUAGAUAUGACAUAGAACACCAAUUGCGAAGGCAGCUGGCUACACAAAUAUUGACGCUGAGGCACGAAAGCGUGGGGAUCAAACAGG